This 426-nucleotide ribosomal RNA is filed under the name Rhipicephalus sanguineus (brown dog tick). RNAcentral describes it as "partial 16S ribosomal RNA". Lineage: Eukaryota; Metazoa; Arthropoda; Arachnida; Ixodida; Ixodidae. The record is from RNAcentral.
GAACUCUGGACCAAUGUUUUUUAAAUUGCUGUGGUAUUUUGACUAUACAAAGGUAUUGAAAUAAGAUUUUAAUUGAAUGCUAAGAGAAUGGAAGUCCAGAAAAAAACUUUUUUUAAAUUAAAAAUUGAAGUUUUUUUAAUUUGUGCAGAAACAAUUAUUUAUAUUAAAGACAAGAAGACCCUAUGAAUUUAUUAAAUUUUUAUUUAAUAUGUAAUUACUAUUAGAAAAAUUUUGGCUGGGGCGGCUAGAAAAUAUUAUGAACUUUUUAAAAAUAAAAUGAUCCAUUAUUAAUGAUUUUAUGUUAAAUACUCUAGGGAUAACAGCGUUAUAUUUUUUGAUAGAUCAUAUUGACAAAAAAGUUUGCGACCUCGAUGUUGGAUUAGGAUACUUUUUUAAUGAAGAUAUAAAAAAAGAAGUUGUCACGGC